AGGACGAACGCUGGCGGCGUGCCUAAUACAUGCAAGUCGAGCGAGCUGAAUUCAAAGAUUCCUUCGGGAUGAUUUGUUGGACGCUAGCGGCGGAUGGGUGAGUAACACGUGGGCAAUCUGCCCUAAAGACUGGGAUACCACUUGGAAACAGGUGCUAAUACCGGAUAACAACAUGAAUCGCAUGAUUCAAGUUUGAAAGGCGGCGCAAGCUGUCACUUUAGGAUGAGCCCGCGGCGCAUUAGCUAGUUGGUGGGGUAAAGGCCUACCAAGGCAAUGAUGCGUAGCCGAGUUGAGAGACUGAUCGGCCACAUUGGGACUGAGACACGGCCCAAACUCCUACGGGAGGCAGCAGUAGGGAAUCUUCCACAAUGGACGCAAGUCUGAUGGAGCAACGCCGCGUGAGUGAAGAAGGUCUUCGGAUCGUAAAGCUCUGUUGUUGGUGAAGAAGGAUAGAGGCAGUAACUGGUCUUUAUUUGACGGUAAUCAACCAGAAAGUCACGGCUAACUACGUGCCAGCAGCCGCGGUAAUACGUAGGUGGCAAGCGUUGUCCGGAUUUAUUGGGCGUAAAGCGAGCGCAGGCGGAAUGAUAAGUCUGAUGUGAAAGCCCACGGCUCAACCGUGGAACUGCAUCGGAAACUGUCAUUCUUGAGUGCAGAAGAGGAGAGUGGAACUCCAUGUGUAGCGGUGGAAUGCGUAGAUAUAUGGAAGAACACCAGUGGCGAAGGCGGCUCUCUGGU
This 738-nucleotide ribosomal RNA is filed under the name Lactobacillus delbrueckii subsp. lactis. RNAcentral's name for it is "bacterial SSU rRNA". It matches the Rfam family "Bacterial small subunit ribosomal RNA", at positions 26 to 733 of the family's 1533-position model. Lineage: Bacteria; Bacillati; Bacillota; Bacilli; Lactobacillales; Lactobacillaceae. The record is from RNAcentral.